AGUACCGUGAGGGAAAGUUGAAAAGAACUUUGAAGAGAGAGUUCAAUAGUACGUGAAACCUCUCGGGGGUAAGCGGGCAGAACUUGCAAGUAAUGGUGAGAAUAUUCAGGCUUAAUAUUGGCAGAUGACAGUGCUUGUUUAUGUGCUCCGUUCGCGGGGUUGCUGAGUUGUGCUGUUUUACUGUUGGUGAUGCGCCGCAUUUAUUCUCAUCUACGGGUUGCAUGUGGUUGAGAGUGUAGUUUAGGUGCUGAGUAUCUGUGGAGUCUUGUUAUUUCAAGUCUUGGUUUCCAACUACCUCUGCGAUCAUUUAAUCAUGAGCAGGCGUUUAGGCGCGGUCAAUGGGUUGUACGAGUUAAGUACGUAUGAUAUGUAGACGGGUAACCGUAGCAUGUUGUACACGGCUGGCUGUCAGUAUGGCUCAAUUGGCACUGUUCUAGGAUUGCAAUC
RNAcentral lists this ribosomal RNA (447 nucleotides) under Parisotoma ekmani. RNAcentral's name for it is "partial 28S ribosomal RNA". It matches the Rfam family "Eukaryotic large subunit ribosomal RNA", at positions 347 to 630 of the family's 3401-position model. The record is from RNAcentral. Lineage: Eukaryota; Metazoa; Arthropoda; Collembola; Entomobryomorpha; Isotomidae.